This 253-nucleotide ribosomal RNA is filed under the name uncultured bacterium. RNAcentral describes it as "partial 16S ribosomal RNA". It matches the Rfam family "Bacterial small subunit ribosomal RNA", at positions 524 to 776 of the family's 1533-position model. The record is from RNAcentral.
UACGUAGGGUGCGAGCGUUGUCCGGAAUUAUUGGGCGUAAAGGGCUCGUAGGCGGUUUGUCGCGUCGGGAGUGAAAACGCCGUGCUUAACACGGCGCUUGCUUUCGAUACGGGCAGACUAGAGGUAUGCAGGGGAGAACGGAAUUCCUGGUGUAGCGGUGAAAUGCGCAGAUAUCAGGAGGAACACCGGUGGCGAAGGCGGUUCUCUGGGCAUUACCUGACGCUGAGGAGCGAAAGCGUGGGGAGCGAACAGG